CACGGGCCUCGUGCCUGUCUCUCAGUCCCUGCCUCAGUUGCUACGCCCUGAUUUCCAUCAUGGCCCUUUUGGCAGAGCCACCGGGAUGUCCUAUUUCUUGGAGCAGAAUGAAGUUACCAGCCCAUAGGAGGUCACGGCUGAGUCACCCCUUCUUGCCCUCAGCUCCAAGAGCACAUGGAAACGUGAAAAAGGCAUCAACGUCAUGGCUUAUAGUUUGCUUGGGGCAGCCAGAUCCCAGAGGGCCUGGGAGCCUGCAAAUGACACUUCCUGAACUCCAGUUAAGUUCAGCCAAUGGGAUAAAGUGGUGAGAGAUGGGAAGGCAUGAGGAAGGGAAUAGCAGCUUUCUCUGCUUCUGGAGGUGACUUCCGCAGUGGCAGCAGCCAUGGCGGCCCUAGGGUAGGCGUUCCAGCAGCAUCCCUGGGAGGGCAGGCUCCUUGGUUGUGGCUCAGUGGCAGCGUCCUGUCUCGGCAGCGGCAGUGGCAGCAGGCCUGUUUCGGCAGUGGCAGUGCUUCCAGCUGCUAACCAGCAAGUGUGUGCUUCUGGUUCCAGCCCACGGGCAGUAGCAGCUCCCUCAACUCAGAGCAUCGCCUUCUCCCUUUGCUCAUUCAUUUUUCCAAGACAUUUGUAACCAACUCCCUAAAUUAAACGGUCUUCUCCUUGAGGUGCCUAGACUGCCUUCUAUUUUCCUGAUUGGGCUCCAAUUGAUAUAGAGGGCAAUAAAUGGGGUAAUUAAUGUGAAACUUAUUUGCUUCUUCUUAUUGCAAGGGCCAGAGCAGAAAGGAAACUCCAAACCCAAACUCUCAGUGAUUCCCCCUUAGUGGAAAUCUGAUAUCAUCCCACCCAUCAGCUUGACUGCUUUAGGCCAGGCCACCUGUCACCCCAACUAGAGUUCAUGGGCAUCUUCAGAGACCAGGAUACACAAAAAAAAACCCACCCAAUGCUCUCCUCCACUCUCCACCUCCCUCCUCACCCACAAUCCUGUCUUAUUCUCUUGGCUACUAGGAAGUGCUUUUUGAUAAUCCGACUCAAUUCACUUUCUAUACUUCCCA
RNAcentral lists this long non-coding RNA (1049 nucleotides) under Homo sapiens (human). RNAcentral describes it as "HSALNT0106151". Lineage: Eukaryota; Metazoa; Chordata; Mammalia; Primates; Hominidae. The record is from RNAcentral.